ACCAGCUCAAAUUUGAAAUCUGACCGAACGGUCCGAGUUGUAAUUUGUAGAGGAUGUUUUGGGCACCGCGGCAGUUUAAUUUUCUUGGAACAGAAUGUCACAGAGGGUGAGAGUCCCGUCUGGAACUGCGGUAGGGCCUGUGUAAAACCCCUUCGACGAGUCGAGUUGUUUGGGAAUGCAGCUCAAAAUGGGUGGUAAAUUUCAUCUAAAGCUAAAUAUUGGCCAGAGACCGAUAGCGCACAAGUAGAGUGAUCGAAAGAUGAAAAGCACUUUGAAAAGAGAGUUAAACAGUAUGUGAAAUUGUUGAAAGGGAAGCGUUUGCAAUCAGACUUGCGUGUGGUGGUUCCCCCUUGCUUCUGCCUGGGCUACUCCAUCAUAUCCAGGCCAACAUCGGUUUCAGGGGUUAGUUAAAGGCUCGAGGAAUGUAUCAACCCCCGGGUUGACUUAUAGCCUCGGGUGUCAUGCAGCCUCCCGGGACCGAGGAACGCGCUUCGGCGAGGAUGUUGGCGUAAUGGUUGUAAACGACCCGUCUUGAAACACGGACCAAGGAGUCUAACAUCUAUGCGAGUGUUUGGGUGUCAAACCCGUACGCGAAAUGAAAGUGAACGGAGGUAGGAAGCUGUCAAACGCUGCACUAUCGACCGAUCCUGAUAUUUAUGGAUGGAUUUGAGUAAGAGCAUAGCUGUUGGGACCCGAAAGAUGGUGAACUAUGCCUAAAUAGGGUGAAGCCAGAGGAAACUCUGGUGGAGGCUCGCAGCGGUUCUGACGUGCAAAUCGAUCGUCAAAUUUGGGUAUAGGGGCGAAAGACUAAUCGAACCAUCUGGUAGCUGGUUCCUGCCGAAGUUUCCCUCAGGAUAAGGGCG
This 863-nucleotide ribosomal RNA is filed under the name uncultured fungal contaminant. RNAcentral's name for it is "eukaryotic LSU rRNA". It matches the Rfam family "Eukaryotic large subunit ribosomal RNA", at positions 103 to 986 of the family's 3401-position model. The record is from RNAcentral. Lineage: Eukaryota; Fungi.